Molecule: ribosomal RNA, 256 nt
Filed under: uncultured bacterium
Lineage: Bacteria
Description: partial small subunit ribosomal RNA
Rfam family: Bacterial small subunit ribosomal RNA
Source: RNAcentral
AGGACGAACGCUGGCGGCGUGCUUAACACAUGCAAGUCGAGCGGAAAGGCCCUUCGGGGUACUCGAGCGGCGAACGGGUGAGUAACACGUGAGCAACCUGCCCCUGGCUCUGGGAUAGCCUUCGGAAAACGGGGAUUAAUACCGGAUAUUCACUGCUUCCUGCAUGGGGGGUGGUGGAAAGUUUUUCGGCUGGGUGGGGCUCGCGGCCUAUCAGCUUGGUUGGGGGGUGACGGCCCACCGAAGGCGACGACGGGUA